GCGCCUUCUCUGUUAAGACCAAAGCCUAUUCUCAUCAUCUUCACUCUCUUUCUCUCACUAUUUUUCACUCUCUCUCUACUUCUCCGGCACCGUUUCCGGCGAAACUCCGGCCCGGAACUUUCUUCCUGUCUCUCAGUAAUCUUAAAACUCCUCGAAACUUCCCAUCAACCGGGGUAAGAAACGUGGCAAAAACCAAACACUAUGACUUAGGACCACUAUAAUCCAAAAAAACUUUUCUCUUCCGAUUCUACCGGAGUCUCUCAUGGACCACCGGCCGUCACCCAAUUUUCCUCCUUUGCCGGAGACAUUCCCCGGAUGAAAAUGCAUGCCUAAUGAAUUCACAAAAUGCCCCUUGAAAACACCAAAUUUACAUAAAGCUUUUGCAUUUUGAUUUCAUAAGGAUUCAGCAAAAAGAAAAUCAUCAUACAUUAAUAAUUAUAGGGGCUUUUCUGGUAUUUAACAAAUGGCGUCUGCUCCAAAUACAACUACUGCUUUAGCUACUGUGGAAUCGACCGUCGGCGUUGGUGUUGGCGGCGGCGGCGGCGGCGGCGGCUCAGCCGAUGAACUUAAUGCUAAGGCAGUGCAUAAGAGAUAUGAAGGGUUGGUGAUGGUACGGACUAAAGCUGUAAAAGGGAAAGGGGCUUGGUAUUGGGCUCACCUUGAGCCGAUUUUGGUUCAGAAUUCUGAUACUGGACUUCCUAAAGCCGUCAAGCUUCGUUGUUCUUUAUGCGACGCUGUUUUCUCUGCUUCAAACCCUUCACGAACUGCUUCUGAACAUCUCAAAAGAGGGACUUGUCCCAAUUUCAAUUCUGUUGCAAAACCCAUUUCGUCAGUGCCGCCUUCUCCGUCAACUACCGUCGCCUUGUCGCCGGUGUCUCCGACUCCGUCACAUCAGCAGCAGCAGCAGAAUCAUCGUAAACGGAGCUCUUCCGGUAGUGGGGGUGGCGUACGUGGGGGUAGUUCAAGUUGUGGCGGUAAUGGUGGGGUUGGGGUUGGAGGGAGUGUGACGACGUCGUAUCAAGUUCCACCUUUAGCUAUUGUUGAUCCAACAAGAUUUGCAGUAGAGUUAGCCUAUUCCCCUGGUGUUUCAAUGGCUACCUCAAUUGUCACUGCCGCUGGUACUGGUGGAAGUACGCCGGGAAGUGGUGGUGGUAGUGCUGUGUAUGGGCAGCAGCAUUUGAUGUUGUCAGGUGGUAAAGAGGAUUUAGGUGCUUUAGCUAUGUUGGAAGAUAGUGUGAAGAAGCUAAAAAGUCCUAAAGCAUCACCUGGUCCAACAUUAAGCAAAUCCCAAAUUGAUUCUGCACUUGAUUAUCUUGCUGAUUGGGUGUAUGAAUGUUGUGGGUCGGUCUCGUUUUCGAGUCUUGAGCAUCCAAAGUUUAAAGCUUUCUUAAACCAAGUUGGUUUGCCACCAUUGUCAAGGAGGGAUUUUGCUGGUUCAAGGCUAGAUGCUAAGUAUGAGGAAGCAAAGGUUGAAUCGGAGGCGAAAAUUCGAGAUGCUAUGUUCUUUCAGAUUGCAUCCGAUGGUUGGAAGUCAAAGAAUUAUGGGCAUGUUGGUGAAGAAAAUUUGGUUAAUUUGUCUGUGAAUCUUCCCAAUGGGACCAGUGUGUUCAGAAGAGCAGUGUUCACUAGUGGAUACGUGCAUUCGAAAUAUGCAGAGGAGAUUUUUAUGGAGACCAUUUCUGAAAUAUGUGGGAACAAUUUGCACCAAUGUGUAGGUAUAGUUGCAGACAAGUUUAAGGCCAAGGCUUUGAGGAACUUAGAGGAUCAGCAUCAUUGGAUGGUUAAUGUUUCUUGUCAGUAUGAAGCCUUUAAUAGUUUGGUUAAGGAUUUUGGUAAGGAGCUUCCUUUGUUCAAGAAUGUAACUGAAAAUUGUUUAAAACUUGCGAAUUUCGUUAAUAAUAAGUCUCAAGUUCGAAAUAGUUUUCACAAAUAUCAGUUGCAGGAGUAUGGGCAUGCUGGUUUACUGAGAGUACCGUUGCGUGGUUAUGAAAGAUCAGAUUUUGGACCUGUGUACACGUUAGUGGAGGAUAUUCUUAGCUCAGCUCGAGCACUUCAAUUAGUAUUGUUGGAUGAAUCCUAUAAGAUAUUGUCUAUGGAAGAGCAAAUUGCUAGGGAUCUCGAAGAGAUGAUGAGGAGCCCACAUUUUUGGAAUGAACUGGAAGCAGUGCAUUCACUGGUAAAACUGAUUAAGUCAAUGACACAGGAUAUCCAAACAGAGAAGCCGCGUGUAGGGCAGUGCCUUCCUCUUUGGGAGGAGCUUAGGGUGAAAGUGAAGGAUUGGUGCUCGAAGUUUCACGUUGCAGAAGGACCUGUAGAGAAAGUAAUUGAAAGGAGAUUCAACAAGAAUUAUCAUCCUGCCUGGGCUGCCGCAUUUAUACUUGACCCUCUCUAUCUGAUUAGAGACACUAGUGGCAAGUACUUGCCUCCGUUUAAAUGUUUGACACCGGAGCAAGAGAAAGACGUGGACAAGCUCAUUACCCGGCUUGUGUCUAGGGAUGAAGCUCACAUUGCAUUAAUGGAGCUUAUGAAAUGGAGAACUGAAGGACUUGAUCCUGUGUACGCUCAAGCUGUACAAUUGAAGCAAAGGGAUCCCAGCACUGGAAAGAUGAAGAUUGCAAAUCCGCAAAGUAGUAGACUUGUGUGGGAAACUCACCUCACUGAAUUUAAGUCACUUGGCAAAGUGGCAGUUAGGCUAAUCGUCCUUCGUGCAAGUUCAUGCGGUUUUAAGUGCAACUGGUCUGUCUUGAAAUGGGUGAAUGCCCAUUCUCAUUCAAGAGUGGGAAUGGACAAGGCUCAGAAAUUGAUAUUUAUUGCCGCUCACUCAAAGCUUCAAAGGAGGGAUUGUUCUAGUGAUGAAGAUAAAGAUGCUGAGCUCUUUUCCCUGGCAAACAGUGAGGAUGAUGUGCUAAAUGAGUUCUUCAGACUCCGUUGAUAGAUGUCAGCUGGUUAACAAAUGCAACAUUGCAUGGAGAUUCUGUACUUGGAAGAUUAUUACAGAUGAGAUUCUGCUGAAGGUUCUGUGCCUAUACCAUACCUCUCCGCUGCAAUCUUGUGUCAAUCCACGCUCUCAAUAUCAUUCCGGCAAGGUCUGGUAUGAGCAAUAAGUGCUUUUCCCCUAGUUGUUGAGAUUCUACAGUUGUGAAGAGCUAUUACUGUUGUCGUUGGCUUGUUAACAUGCUAUUUUAACCAGUUAGAACUUCUUAUCAUUUAGUAUUUGUUUUCGACCUCUUUAGUAUUCUCUACUUUACUUUUGCCCUCUUUUUUAUUUGUGUUCUUGAAUACUAGAUGCUUCCUUUUUUUUGUUCUGAGUAAUAAUCCAACUCAGUAUCCUAGUGGUCAAUGAAGUGGGUUGAGAAUCAUGAGAUCUCAGGUUCAAACUCUACUAGACACAAAACACACUAGGAGAUUUCUUUUCAUUUGUCCUAGCCUUGGUGGACAGAGUUAACUGGUACCUAUUGUUGGUGGGAGGUGAUAGAUAUCCCGUGGAAUUAGUCGAGAUGCGCUCAAAGCCAUCCCGACCUCCACGGUUAUUAAAAAAAGGAAGACUAUUUCAACUCAUUAUUAUUUACCAACUGAAGUAUGACUUAAGUGCAAUGCUUAUUUCUUGAUUCAGAAGUAUUUGACAAGGUCUAGUCACUCUGGAUAGACCAUGGUAAGAAGCUAUUGAUUGGUUGGAAAAACCGUUCGAUCACAGAUGAAGAGGAUAUUAUGGAAACGAUUUCACCUGAACAUUUUCAGAUAAAAGGACUGAGGUUGUUUCAGUCUAAUGUAAACUAUGCAACUAAGGUUUUGCUAGCUUUAGCAACAACCCCUUUUUGUCAAGGACAUUUGAUCAAUCUUUAUAGCUGUAAGAGCACUUCCAACAACUGACUCUUGGCAACCCCACCAUGAAAGAAGUGGAAGUCUUUUGAAAAAAUGGGUCAUUGGAUGAUUGUGAAAAAGUUGUGAGAGGACCCAAAGUUGAAGAAUACUGUCGGCAUGAAGCAACACAAGAGAGAUGCUUGAUAGCGACAUGGCAACGGAGAUUGACUAAUUUUGCUGGUUACCGGAUGACUUUCAUUAAUGAAAAAACAUCAUUACCUGUCUAAAGGUAUCAAGCAAUUCUUGGAAAGCUACAACCACAACAAUAUACCAAGUGUAGUCCCACACAGUGGGGUCUGAGGAGGGUAGAGUGUACGCAGACCUUACCUCUAUCUCAAAGGUGAGGUCGAGAGGCUGUUUCCUAUAGACCCUUGGUUCAGAAUUCUUGGAAAGCUCUUGGGAAAAAUGUUAGAACAAAAAUCUCCAUUUCUUGAAAAGUGGUGACAUGUUUCAAUGCCAUCUUCCGCGAAACCAGGCUCUUACUUUGUUAUGGCUGAAAUUUCUAACUUUGUUAUACGAACGUUUGGAUUGAAUGUGGGAUUAUAAUCUUGGGAUAACCUGGUCCAAAAUGAUGGAUUACGAUUAAGCUACCAAAAAGAGAUUCUAUGACCACACAACAACUGUUGUAAACACAUUUUAUGGUGUUUUUAGGGAACUUAUCUUCUUUGUUUUUCAUGUUAAACUUUAGUAUGAUAGCACUAUAUGUGGAGAUAAAAGGCAUAUUUCCUUUUUCUCCUUUUUUUUUCACUAUCAUUUUUUGGUGGGGUUAAAAGGAGGUUGUUGAUUGAUUUUG
Molecule: RNA transcript, 4654 nt
Organism: Solanum tuberosum (potato)
Lineage: Eukaryota; Viridiplantae; Streptophyta; Magnoliopsida; Solanales; Solanaceae
Exons: 4
Source: RefSeq, a predicted model, not a curated record